UGGGGAAUCUUGCGCAAUGGGCGAAAGCCUGACGCAGCCAUGCCGCGUGAAUGAUGAAGGUCUUAGGAUUGUAAAAUUCUUUCAGUAGGGACGAUAAUGACGGUACCUACAGAAGAAGCCCCGGCUAACUUCGUGCCAGCAGCCGCGGUAAUACGAAGGGGGCUAGCGUUGCUCGGAAUUACUGGGCGUAAAGGGAGCGUAGGCGGGUUAUCAAGUUGGAGGUGAAAGCCCAGGGCUCAACCUUGGAAUUGCCUUCAAAACUGAUAGCCUAGAGUAUGAUAGAGGUAUGUGGAACUCCGAGUGUAGAGGUGAAAUUCGUAGAUAUUCGGAAGAACACCAGUGGCGAAGGCGACAUACUGGGUCAUGACUGACGCUGAGGCUCGAAAGCGUGGGGAGCAAACAGG
RNAcentral lists this ribosomal RNA (404 nucleotides) under uncultured bacterium. RNAcentral describes it as "bacterial SSU rRNA". It matches the Rfam family "Bacterial small subunit ribosomal RNA", at positions 355 to 776 of the family's 1533-position model. The record is from RNAcentral.